This 26-nucleotide non-coding RNA is filed under the name Mus musculus (house mouse). Lineage: Eukaryota; Metazoa; Chordata; Mammalia; Rodentia; Muridae. The record is from RNAcentral.
UAAGGUUGCAGAAGGUACAAGUUUAC